AGAUAGAUGAUAGAUAGAUAGAUAGAUAGAUAGAUAGAUGAUAUAUAGAGAUCUAUCAUCUAUCUAUCAUCUAUCUAUCAUCUAUCU
Non-coding RNA from Podarcis lilfordi (Lilford's wall lizard), 87 nucleotides. The record is from the annotation of a GenBank genome assembly. NCBI's taxonomy places the organism in Eukaryota, Metazoa, Chordata, Lepidosauria, Squamata, Lacertidae.